CAAAAUCGAAAGUAGCUCCAGAUCAAGUGGAGCACGCCAACUCGCGCUGAUCAAGGAUCCUAAGAAGGGGGACCGUCAGCUUGCCUACCUACACCUGCGGGCAUGAAACGCANNNNNNNNNNNNNNNNNNNNNNNNNCAUCAAGCCUCUGAGGGUAUCCCAUCAUAUCGUCUCGGCCACUGUGGACAACAUCAUCAACAUGUACCAACUGAUUAGGUGGUAUGAGCACCUAAUUUUUGACUAUAUUUAUAUUUUAUCACCUUUUUAGUGUUUAAAUAUUUGUUAAGUUUAAUCUUGAUAUUUUAGCCUUUAUUUCACUUUUUAGUAGGUUUAUUUGAUAAAAUAAAAAAAGAAAUACAAAAAAAAGAAUCACAUUUUUAGAUAAUUGUUGUGUUUUAUUUGCAAGAAAAAGAAAUUCACAAAAAAUACGUCUUUUUUUUUUUUAAUUUUGGUAAGACUACUUUAUAACUUUUUCCUUAAUAUUUCUUGUAUUUUUCUAAUUUUUAAUAUUAUUGUAGUAUUUUUAAUUUUAGAUUUUUUUUUUAGAAAAGGAGCCAAUUAAGAAUUGCCAAAUGCCAAAAGAUUCCAUUUUAUCCCUAGUAACUAACUCCCACUCACUCACUUUCUUGGCAAUUUCUCAUUAAUUCACACACUCUACCCAUUGGAUUCUUUUACACAACACACACAUAUUCCCUUUUUUGGAAGUCUCUCACACACACAUGAAUCACCACUCUAGAAGAAACACAGAAAACACGAGGGAAAGGGGUGUGUGACGAAGAAAGAUAAAAAGGGGUUAAAAAACAGAAAACAGAGGAGAGGAAGAAAAAGAAAGGAAUGAAAAAACAUAGGAGGGGAUAGACGAGAAACAAAGAAAAAGAAUAAGGGAUUGGGUCAUCUCCUUCCACGCAAAAAGAUCAGUUCCAAUUUUUUCCCUUAGAAGCCAUGUAUUUUACCACCAAAAAGUCAUCUCUUUUCUCUUCCUAAGAUCUAGAUCCAAGAGCUAAAACAAAAGUUGCUUACCUUCUUCUCCUUCUUAAAAUACCUCCAUUAAACCACCCUCCAAAGAGCCCAUUUUUUAAGCCAUGAAAAUCAGUCCCUAAAGCUCCUUUAAUCAAUUGAAAAUCAGCUGCAACAUUAUGCAAAAACGCAGCAGCAGUUCGGCUGUAAAACCAGUCCAAAUUCCAGCUUGAAAUCACCCCAAUACAGUCUAACAACGACCCCCAAGAGCAGCUCUGUUUCUCAAUGAAAUCGCCAGAAAUCGGCCUUCAAACUCCAUAAACACAGCAGUUUGGUCUUCCUCACUGUCGAGAUUCGAGUUUUUCUGAAAAGUUCGAAGUCAUUCGAGGUUCUUGCUCACAGCUUCGGUUCGUCGGUUUUCUUUUGCUUUGAUCCAGUUUCUUCUCAGCAGUUAAGGUUUGGUUUUCCACUGUAUUCUCCAAUCAAUUCUUAAGCAUAUGAAUAAAUGACUUUGAUGUGGGUAAUAUGUGAAAAGUGGAUUGAAUUUCUCUUAUUAUUCUAUAUGAGUUUGACUAUUUAGUUCAUUGAACGAUUAAUUUUUGGGAAGUGUUUAAGUUUCUUGAACUCAUGGUUUUCUGUUGCCACAAGGAAAUGAGCGAGACUUUCCCUAUGGAUAUAUGUAUUGAAUGUUUGAG
Molecule: long non-coding RNA, 1651 nt
Filed under: Nicotiana tabacum (common tobacco)
Lineage: Eukaryota; Viridiplantae; Streptophyta; Magnoliopsida; Solanales; Solanaceae
Description: long non-coding RNA (NTAB_LNC000919)
Source: RNAcentral